CGAUCAGCCACACUGGGACUGAGACACGGCCCAGACUCCUACGGGAGGCAGCAGUGGGGAAUCUUGCGCAAUGGGCGAAAGCCUGACGCAGCAACGCCGCGUGUGGGACGAAGGCCUUCUGGGUUGUAAACCACUUUCAGCAGGGACGAUUGUGACGGUACCUGCAGAAGAAGCCCCGGCCAACUACGUGCCAGCAGCCGCGGUAAUACGUAGGGGGCAAGCGUUAUCCGGAUUCAUUGGGCGUAAAGCGCGCGUAGGUGGAUCGUUAAGUCAGAUGUGAAAACCGGGGGCUCAACCCGCGGCCUGCAUCUGAAACUGGCGGUCUUGAGUCUGGUAGAGGAAAGUGGAAUUCCCAGUGUAGCGGUGAAAUGCGCAGAUAUUGGGAGGAACACCAGUGGCGAAGGCGGCUUUCUGGGCCACGACUGACGCUGAUGCGCGAAAGCUAGGGGAGCAAACAGGAUUAGAUACCCUGGUAGUCCUAGCAGUAAACGAUGGGCACUAGGUGUGGGGGGUCAUCAACUCCCUCCGUGCCGCAGCUAACGCAUUAAGUGCCCCGCCUGGGGAGUACGACCGCAAGGUUAAA
Molecule: ribosomal RNA, 583 nt
Filed under: uncultured soil bacterium
Lineage: Bacteria
Description: bacterial SSU rRNA
Rfam family: Bacterial small subunit ribosomal RNA
Source: RNAcentral